This 446-nucleotide long non-coding RNA is filed under the name Homo sapiens (human). Its description in RNAcentral is "HSALNT0373746". The record is from RNAcentral. Lineage: Eukaryota; Metazoa; Chordata; Mammalia; Primates; Hominidae.
UAUAUUUGUAAACUGAAAAAGGCUGCUAACUCUUUUCCACAAGUAUUAUUUUAUCCUAUCUUUUUUCCUUCAUUCAUGCAGUAAAACUAUUAUGACGCUUGAGAAUGGUAGAGUUGCAGCUGAAAUUCACUGAGGAGUCUGGAUAUAUUUCGGCACAGGUUAUAUAUCUGUGACUAAUUUUAAGAACGACGACUGAGAGAAAUACAGAAAGCAGGAUUAAACAUAGAAGCUGAGCUGCAGUGAUGUUGCAGCAGAGGCGUCAGCCAAUCCAUUUGUAAGCACUGAGCCUUGGUGGCCUUUCAGAGUUUUCCACUUCAGAAAAGAGGAGAGAAAAUACUGGAGAGGGAUUCAGCUGUAUCCCAUUUAACCAAUAUUCCUGACAUCUGACAAAAUGAUUGCCUCACUCCUGAAGAAGUUUCUGGAUGGUGAAUCACAUCAUUACUAUG